CCUGGUGGUCUAGUGGUUGAGAUUCAGUGUUCUCACCACUGUGACCUGGGUUCAAUUCCUGGUCAGG
This 67-nucleotide transfer RNA is filed under the name Equus asinus (donkey). It matches the Rfam family "tRNA". From Rfam's summary of the family: Transfer RNA (tRNA) molecules are approximately 80 nucleotides in length. Their secondary structure includes four short double-helical elements and three loops (D, anti-codon, and T loops). Further hydrogen bonds mediate the characteristic L-shaped molecular structure. tRNAs have two regions of fundamental functional importance: the anti-codon, which is responsible for specific mRNA codon recognition, and the 3' end, to which the tRNAs corresponding amino acid is attached (by aminoacyl-tRNA synthetases). tRNAs cope with the degeneracy of the genetic code in two manners: having more than one tRNA (with a specific anti-codon) for a particular amino acid; and 'wobble' base-pairing, i.e. permitting non-standard base-pairing at the 3rd anti-codon position. Lineage: Eukaryota; Metazoa; Chordata; Mammalia; Perissodactyla; Equidae. RNAcentral also lists the same sequence under 1 other name. The record is from Rfam by way of RNAcentral.